This 450-nucleotide ribosomal RNA is filed under the name uncultured bacterium. RNAcentral describes it as "partial 16S ribosomal RNA". It matches the Rfam family "Bacterial small subunit ribosomal RNA", at positions 354 to 796 of the family's 1533-position model. The record is from RNAcentral.
GUGGGGAAUUUUGGACAAUGGGGGCAACCCUGAUCCAGCCAUCCCGCGUGUGCGAUGAAUGCCUUCGGGUUGUAAAGCACUUUUGGCAGGGAAGAAAAGGUUCUGGUUAAUACCUGGAGCCGCUGACGGUACCUGCAGAAUAAGCACCGGCUAACUACGUGCCAGCAGCCGCGGUAAUACGUAGGGUGCAAGCGUUAAUCGGAAUUACUGGGCGUAAAGCGUGCGCAGGCGGUUCGGAAAGAAAGAUGUGAAAUCCCAGGGCUUAACCUUGGAAUGGCAUUUUUAACUACCGGGCUAGAGUAUGUCAGAGGGGGGUAGAAUUCCACGUGUAGCAGUGAAAUGCGUAGAGAUGUGGAGGAAUACCGAUGGCGAAGGCAGCCCCCUGGGAUAAUACUGACGCUCAUGCACGAAAGCGUGGGGAGCAAACAGGAUUAGAAACCCUUGUAGUCC